This 202-nucleotide unclassified non-coding RNA is filed under the name Hevea brasiliensis (rubber tree). The record is from RNAcentral. Lineage: Eukaryota; Viridiplantae; Streptophyta; Magnoliopsida; Malpighiales; Euphorbiaceae.
AUUUAGCUCCCUUGUUAACAAGAUCAAGCCUUAUUUGGCUAUGGUGUCUUUGCAAUUUGGUUAUGCAGGGAUGUAUAUUGUCACCAUGAUGUGUUUCAAAAGAGGAAUGAGUCAUUGGAUUCUUGUUGUUUAUAGACAUGCAUUUGCCACCAUUGCUGUUGCACCCUUUGCUAUCGUUCUCGAAAGGAAAAUAAGGCCUAAG